AUUGAACGCUGGCGGCAGGCUUAACACAUGCAAGUCGAGCGGGGGAAGGUAGCUUGCUACCGGACCUAGCGGCGGACGGGUGAGUAAUGCUUAGGAAUCUGCCUAUUAGUGGGGGACAACAUCUCGAAAGGGAUGCUAAUACCGCAUACGUCCUACGGGAGAAAGCGGGGGAUCUUCGGACCUUGCGCUAAUAGAUGAGCCUAAGUCGGAUUAGCUAGUUGGUGGGGUAAAGGCCUACCAAGGCGACGAUCUGUAGCGGGUCUGAGAGGAUGAUCCGCCACACUGGGACUGAGACACGGCCCAGACUCCUACGGGAGGCAGCAGUGGGGAAUAUUGGACAAUGGGGGGAACCCUGAUCCAGCCAUGCCGCGUGUGUGAAGAAGGCCUUAUGGUUGUAAAGCACUUUAAGCGAGGAGGAGGCUACUUUAGUUAAUACCUAGAGAUAGUGGACGUUACUCGCAGAAUAAGCACCGGCUAACUCUGUG
Molecule: ribosomal RNA, 485 nt
Filed under: uncultured bacterium
Lineage: Bacteria
Description: partial 16S ribosomal RNA
Rfam family: Bacterial small subunit ribosomal RNA
Source: RNAcentral